UGCAAGUCGAACGAGAAUCGGUCCUUCGGGGCCGAGGAAAGUGGCGCACGGGUGCGUAACACGUGGGUAAUCAACCCCCCAGAUUGGGACAACCCGGGGAAACUCGGGCUAAUACCGGAUACGUCGUCCGGGACUUCGGUCCUGGCCGAGAAAGGUCCGCAAGGGCCACUGGGGGACGAGCUCGCGGCCCAUCAGCUUGUUGGUGAGGUAAUGGCUCACCAAGGCGAAGACGGGUAGCUGGUCUGAGAGGAUGAUUCAGCCACACUGGAACUGAGACACGGUCCAGACUCCUACGGGAGGCAGCAGUGGGGAAUAUUGCGCAAUGGGCGAAAGCCUGACGCAGCCACGCCGCGUGAGCGAUGAAGGUCUUCGGAUCGUAAAGCUCUGUGGGGGGAGAAGAAUCAAGCCGGUGAAGAGCCGGC
Molecule: ribosomal RNA, 422 nt
Filed under: uncultured bacterium
Lineage: Bacteria
Description: bacterial SSU rRNA
Rfam family: Bacterial small subunit ribosomal RNA
Source: RNAcentral